GAGAAGAACGCAGCGAAAUGCGAUAAGUAAUGUGAAUUGCAGAAUUCAGUGAAUCAUCGAAUCUUUGAACGCACAUUGCGCCCGCCAGUAUUCUGGCGGGCAUGCCUGUUCGAGCGACAUUUCAACCAUCAAGCCCCAGGCUUGUGUUGGGGACCUGCGGCUGCCGCAGGCCCUGAAAACCAGUGGCGGGCUCGCUGUCACACCGGGCGUAGUAGAUUUUAUCUCGCUCAGGGCGUGCUGCGGGUUCCGGCCGUUAAAAAGCCUUUUUUACCCAAGGUUGACCUCGGAUCAGGUAGGAAGACCCGCUGAACUUAAGCAUAUCAAUAAGCGGAGGA
Molecule: unclassified non-coding RNA, 335 nt
Filed under: soil metagenome
Description: partial contains 5.8S ribosomal RNA, internal transcribed spacer 2, and large subunit ribosomal RNA
Rfam family: 5.8S ribosomal RNA (bases 3-119)
Source: RNAcentral